GCCCCACAUGAUCCCCCACCAAAAAAAAAAAAAAAAAAAAAAAAUUGCAGAGGAAUAAUUUACAAAGAAGCUGUUCCUUUUCAGUGGACAGAAGUCUUCUAUCUGCUAUCUGGAGUACUCCUUGAACAAAGACAAUAAGGAAAGCGAAUUAAUAGUCCAAAGAUGAGCAUGGAUUAGGGGCUGUUUCUUUCUGAGGUCUAAGGUGAGGCCCCCAUGAGCUGACGACUUCCUUACAACCACUGCAAAUGCAGAAUACCUGUGCAAGUCUGUGUCUUUCUCCAUUUGCCAGUGCUGGAUGAACACCAGUAAACGCCUGCUCUUUAGGCUGCUGCCUCUUGAAGACUGAGCUAACAGGGUCCUUGCUCUGUGGUUGUGUUUUAGAGGCCCCACUUUGGCAUUCCUCCUACCUGGGACUUGGAAUUCUCUGCUGGAACAGCCCCAAGCCCACUCCCAAAGCCUCUUCCCCAGGUCUAUCGCCAAUGUACAUAUCCAAGGCCCAAAGAUGGCUAAAGAUCAGCUGCUCUGCAGGGAGUAGGAAGACAGAAUAUAAACAUGUGUCCUGAGCUUUGGGCUUUUAACUAGUAUCUUCUUCAAUUAAAGUGGCAAGGCAGAACAGACAAGGAAAUCAGUGGAUCUCUUCCCAAACAUCAAUAAAACAAAUUUCUCUCCGGGA
Molecule: long non-coding RNA, 673 nt
Organism: Sapajus apella (tufted capuchin)
Lineage: Eukaryota; Metazoa; Chordata; Mammalia; Primates; Cebidae
Exons: 2
Source: RefSeq, a predicted model, not a curated record